Molecule: transfer RNA, 57 nt
Filed under: Dermacentor nitens
Lineage: Eukaryota; Metazoa; Arthropoda; Arachnida; Ixodida; Ixodidae
Description: tRNA-Asn
Source: RNAcentral
CCAAAAUUUAAGGCAAUUCACUGUUAAUGAGUUAAUUGAUAUUCUUAUCCUAUUAAA